GUCCAACUAGCGCGAAAUGAAGCAGAACUCUCCUCCAUAGACUAGCCGGAGAGAAUGAGCAGAGAGCCGGGAGGUACUGGGGGCCGAGCGUUCGACUCAGACCAGCUUCAAGACGGAGCGAAAGAGCGGAGGUUCGAGACCUUCCGCCGUACCGAACAGCUUCCCUCGCGAUACCAAGCAAUACCCCCGUUUCCUCUGAUCUACAAACUCCCUGGCCAUCCCUUCUCUUCGCCGGAGCCAGCCCGGAGGGCAUGAAACAAACCCAACGCCGACCGUUCCCCACACUUUCCCUCACCAAAGAAACCCACGCGCGAGUGCUCCACGCAAACGCGACCCAGUCCCUAACAGGCAACCUCAAGAGUUCAUGAACCUUCACAGCAGCGUCGCCGAGGCCGGGGUGCCGCCCCACGGACCUCUGCCGGGUGGCGGCGGGUAGGAAGCUGGUGGCGACGCCUGCGGGGGGCAGAAGGGAGCGAAGGGUGAAACUUCCCGGGGUCACCCGAGCCUGGGCAAGCACGCCGCGUACCUUUCCUUGGCCUCGGCGGCCCGGUCUCUUUGCCUCCGGUUCUUAAACCAGUUGCUGACCUGGGUGGUGGUGAGGCCGGUGGCCUCGGCCAGCUCCCGUUUCUCCCUCGGUGAGGGGUAGGGGUUGUGCGCGUACCACUCCCGCAGCACGCCCCGAGACUUCUCCUUAAAGCAGUAGCUGGUCUCCUCGCCGUCCCAGAUGGUCCGCGGCAACGGGAAUUUUCGGCGCACCCGAUAUUUGCCCACGGCACCCAGGGGUCGGCCGCGAAGUUUCUCGGCCUCCACGUAGUGCGCUUUCAGCCACAGCUGCUGCAGUUUGGGGUGAUUGUGAGGCGAGAACUGGUGGCUCUCCAGUAUCUUGUAGAGCUCGCGGAAGUUGCCGCGGUGGAAGGCGACCACCGCCUUGGCCUUGAGCACGCUCUCGUUCUUGUGCAGGUGAUCGCAGGCGGGCAACGACCACAAGAACCUGCCCAGGCGUUCCAGGUUCCCUCCUUGCUGCAGAACUUCGCACACGCACGCCACUUGCUCUUGCGUAAAACCAAACGACGGCAGCAUCGACAUGGCUGGCGCUGCCGGGGCGCACGGGCCCGGGCGCACGCGGCAGUGAGCAGAGCUGGGAGAGCAGGGGGCGGCUGCCGCGGGGAGGGGGGCGCGGCUGCUCCUAACCCCCUCCCUAGCCUUGGCGCGGGCGAAGAGACCAGUCGAACCUCGGCGGGUGGGAGGCCAAGGAAGACGAAGAGAAGUAGGGGUGAGCUAGACUCCGAGUGGCUGGCGUUCUCUACAGCCUUCUGGGCCUCGCUGGCUCCCGCCUGCCGCCGGGUGGAUGCUGCUGGUUGCCGGGGAACUUGGUUUCUGUUCUCCCCGCAGCGGCCUUAAAGCGCGCAGCGUCCCCGACACGCUGAUUGGCUGCGAGCGGCGCCUAUCCGAAGCUGGCCAGCCUGCGCGCCGCCCGGCCCGGCAGCAAAGCCGCGCCACCCUGCCGCCCCGCGUGGGGAGGGCGAAGCUACCGAGUGCUGCCUAGGAUAAGAAGUGGUGGGAGGAGAAGGACCCGGAGAGGUGGGAAGUGAGGUGGGGUCGGGAGGAGGGAACUGGGGUGCUGAAAAGGGUGGUGACCAAGUCAGGACCUUGCGAAGCGGCGCCCUCUUUGGUGUCACCUAAGGGGAGCCUCACGCAGCACAAAUCAAUGGCUGCAGACGUUCUAAUGACCCUCUUCUCCAUAUUCUUAGCCCUGUCUCUUGCAGUCUUGGCUUUUCCCGGUGAGCUCAUAUUUAAUUACCUUAAUGUUAAGAUGAAUAAAUAAUGGAUUGA
This 1833-nucleotide long non-coding RNA is filed under the name Mus musculus (house mouse). Its description in RNAcentral is "long non-coding RNA chr12:73045340-73047173". Lineage: Eukaryota; Metazoa; Chordata; Mammalia; Rodentia; Muridae. The record is from RNAcentral.